ACAUACGACCAUAGGGUGUGGAAAACAGGGCUUCCCGUCCGCUCAGCCGUACUUAAGCCACACGCCGGUGAGUUAGUAGUUGGGUGGGUGACCACCAGCGAAUCCUCACUGUUGUACGUUU
Molecule: ribosomal RNA, 121 nt
Filed under: Penicillium nalgiovense
Lineage: Eukaryota; Fungi; Ascomycota; Eurotiomycetes; Eurotiales; Aspergillaceae
Source: RNAcentral